Molecule: long non-coding RNA, 2413 nt
Filed under: Nicotiana benthamiana
Lineage: Eukaryota; Viridiplantae; Streptophyta; Magnoliopsida; Solanales; Solanaceae
Description: long non-coding RNA (NBEN_LNC019521)
Source: RNAcentral
AGCCUUUCUCCAAUUUGAGUGUGUCAAAGUUCCUUAAGAGCCUCAAUGGGGCUCCGGGCAGUGCUUACACCCAAAUUGUAUUACCAGAAUAGGGAUAAGUGCAGUGUAGAAGGGCCAGCCCUCAAGUGUCCAAGUUCAUAGGGAGCUCAAUGGGUCCCAAGGAAAGGCUCAUAUGACGAGGGCAAAACUUAAGUCUAAGAGAGAGUGCAAGUGAAAAAACAGAGUUCUAAAGGAAUAAAGAAGAGGGAAACAUCCACAAACAAGUUGAUAAUUUCAUACAAAAGCGGUUCAGGGGGAUUGGGAAGUUGCACAGAGCCUAUGCUUAGGCAGGGGUAAGCUUUGGGCAUGCACAACAAUAGAAGAUGUUGGCCUGCCUAUAGCCCUACCAGAGCACACAAUAGCAGAGAAGUAUAGAGGUUAGGAUCCCAGAGAUCAAGCUUGAGUGAUGGGCAGUAAUAUUCAAUAUUUUCAUGCCUGAAACAAACCAUAACAUCGAACACGUUGGGGUGGGGGUUUAGAAUUCAUAAUAAAUUCAGAACAGGCAGAAGGAAAUAAUAGCUUACUAAAAUAAGUACUGAACUAAACACAAGCAGUAGGCAAACAAGAAGGCAAAAGCAUUAAAUAAACACAUUGUUGUGAUACUGGAAUCUUAAUCACGAUACACCAGUUCAGAGAAGCGAAAUACAGUAAAAGCAGGUAACAGCACUUUGAAGGCAAGCACGGUACAAGACAAGAAAGAAUAUUUUUUUGAGUAUGAGUGUGAGUUCAAACACUAAGAGUGUUCGUGUGCAUCUGUGUUAAUGAAAGAGCAGAGUAUUUAUAGUUUGAAAAUAGGUAGAAAAAAAAAGGCAUAAUUAUGGAAUGAUGUUUCAAUUAAAAUCAAAUCAGUAUAAGACUUCCUUUCAUUAAGGAGUUAAAAUUAAACGGUAAUGGGCAGAAAACAUUUAAGUAGCAAAAUCAAGUAGAGCAUCAUGUGCAGAAUAGACAAUUAGGGCUAAGUACAUAGAGGUUUAAUUAAGGUAAGAAUCUUUGAAAUACUCGGUUAACCAAAUAAGGGAAGAAAAUAAAGUAAAGUUGCACAAUGUGGAGACAAUCGAAAAUCUGUACCUAGCAAAUCAAGGAGUAAAGGAUUUCAAAAUCACUGACUUAAUUAGAAUGACAUGGGUUCCUAUGAAUAAACAAGUUGAGAAGGGAGAAUCGAAAAUUAAAAGGGAAGUUUUCAAAUCAAUCCAAGAAACAGAGAAUCAAUAAAACAAGGAAAGAAUCAAUUACAUGAGUGCAAUCAGAAUUACACAAGGAGGUUUGAAAUCAGCCCAAAAUUGAAGACCAUUUUAAAGGGAAAUUUAGCAUAUAAAAUAGUGCAUAAACAUUAGGCCUGCGAGGUUGAACUCAUGACAAAAAUAAACAUCAUGCAAUAGAAAACACAAUGUCAGUAGCUAAUGAACUAUUGAAACAUAGUAGUCACAUAGGUCAAUUUUACCAGCUCAGUAACAGAGAAAAGAGAGAUAUCGAAAGCAUGUAAAAGGUCAAGUACAAAGAAAUUUCUAAAAAAAUGUAGUCCAAUUUCAAUGAUAAAAAGAAGUCAAAGAACAUAAAGAAACAGGGGUUGGAACAAAAGAUUUCAAGAUUCAGUCGAGCAACAGAUGAAGCAACCUCAGACACUUGAAUAGGUCCAAAGUAAAUUAGGGUUUUGAAACCAAUCGAAUUCGUAGCAUGACGAACAAGUAAAUCACAUAGCAGAUAGUCUCAUAAAUUGAACAAAACCCCAAAAUUUAGGGUUUUUACUAUCAAUCGAGUAUAGAGAUGAAAAACAAUAAAAUCAGACAGAAAUACUAAAAAAAUAGAUUUAGAAAUUCCAAAAAGGUCAAGGACGUCAACAUGCAACUUAAGUAGAAGAAUGACAUAAGAAACCACAGUAGAACAUGCAGGAAAAUCAUAGAAAGCUAACAAAACCCUAAAUCGCAAAAAGAUAAGGGGUUUUAAAGGUAAAGUUUUAGAAGAAACUUCAGGAAAAACAUUUAGUUGUUUAGAGAAAACACGGAACUAAACAUGUAUAAAAAAUUAGAAGAACCUCAAAGGUUAGCAUUUUUGCAGAGACCCAGAUGGUGAGAAAGGCUUGGACAAUCAUCGAUCUAAGUAGGAAAAGUCAAGAGUCAAGCUUGAAUAGCCAUGGCUAACCAGAGCAAGGUCAAAGAUGACCGGAGACAGUCAUAAGAACUGAGAUCGACUGAGGUCUGGGUGAAUCUUCUUCAAGGGUUGGUCGGUAAACCAUAGUACUCGACAACAUAGAAGCCAAGGGAGGUAGAUACAGGCCUCUUAUCGCUGUGGAAACAAUUGAUUUGGACGAGUUUAGGGUGGAAGCUGAGGGAUGCGGCUAGGGUUUGAGAGGAGUUUGAGAGAGAAUUGGUAAAAU